This is a long non-coding RNA of Astatotilapia calliptera (eastern happy), 1162 nucleotides long. Lineage: Eukaryota; Metazoa; Chordata; Actinopteri; Cichliformes; Cichlidae. The record is from Ensembl.
AAGAUCAGUACUUCCACGCUUUAAACGCUGCACGCUCAUACUCUCUCCCGCACUCGAUAUAUGAUCCACUGUUGAUCUGCACACAGCUGUUGUCACGAACGUCGCACUCGCUUACAUCAUUGUCAUGAGACAUUCUCGCAAAAAAAUCACGGUUUUAGUAACGCAGUAAUGCAGCGUUCCUACGGGAAAGUAACGUUUCGCGAUAGUAAUCCCUUACUUUACUCGUUACUUUUAAAAAGUAAUCAGAUUACAGUAAUGCGUUACUCUCUGAUUGUAACUGACUGUAAAAAGUCAGCACAACAAAAAUAAACUCCACCUAAACUUGGUUUAUAUCUGACCCAGAUAGACUGCAGGUCAUAACUUCUUACCUGAAUUUCAGUACACCUGACCUGCGGCCACCUCAGGUCUCUCCUCCUGCCUCACCUUUCCCUCAUCCACCUGCUGGCCUCUGUGGAAGCUCCAUAGCCACCACCAAACAACUGAAUUAUUUUUACAGAUCGACCAGCAUCUGGCCAAUCCACCACCUUUCAUUGUUUAUACCGUUACAAAAAAAAAAAAAAAAACAGCCCAUAAAAACGAAAAAUCACCAUCGGCCCACCGGGCAUUUGCCCUGUAUAUCCCUCAAGCUGUCGUCCAAUAUCCCUUAUAAAUGUAGACCUUAAAAUAAUCUGCAAAGAGAUUAGAGAAAAUAACCCCCCUCUUAAUUCGUCCUGACCAAACUGGUUUCAUAAAAGGUAGGCACUCAUCAACAAAUACACGUAGAUUACUUAAUUUGAUAGACUACUCAUACAGUUAAAAACAUCGAAACUACAAUAUUUUCCAAAUUCCUUUGGAAAGAUAAACCCCCACGUAUAAGCUUAAAAACACUACAAAAGACCAAGGAUAGAGGAGGAUUAGAACUACCUAAGUUUCAGCACUACUUCUUAGCCAACAGGCUUCAAUUUAUCUCAGGAUGGCUAAAACAUACCCUCUUAGACGAACCUUGGCUAAAUGUAGAACAAGCACUUUGCAAUAAUCUAGAGAUUUCAGAUCUACCAUUUAUCAGCUCAAACCUCCAACGACAUGAAUGCUUCAAAAGCAUCAACAUCAGCUUCUCUCUGACAGCAUGGUGGGAGUUUCUAAAAUUGACGGAGUCUUCAUUAAUCCCAUGCAAACGUACACC